GUGCUUGCUUUAGAAGCACAUAUACUAAAAUUGGAAUGAUACAGACAAGAUUAGUAUGGCCUCUGUGCUUGUGUGAGACACAAAUUUGUGAAGCAUUCUAUUUUUUG
Molecule: small nuclear RNA, 107 nt
Organism: Chlorocebus sabaeus (green monkey)
Lineage: Eukaryota; Metazoa; Chordata; Mammalia; Primates; Cercopithecidae
Source: Ensembl